GGCGACCGGUUUUUUCUUACGCCGGCGCCGGAAAAGCCACUGUGGCAGCCGGAAUCGACGAGCUGGCAGCCGGAAUUGACACCUAAACAUAUAUUUUACAUGUGGCAAAAAAAUAAAAAUAAAAAAUACAAAUAAAUUCCAAAUCAUCAUCAUCUUCCUCAAACCCUUAUCCCCCUCCCCCAACCCGGCGGCCCCGCCGCCGCCUCACCCUGCCAACACCACCGGCGCCGCUCCUUCGCCGCCUCACCCUGCCAACACUACCAGCGCUGCCCCCUUCCCUCCCCCAAUCCACCGCAGCCUCCCCCCUGCCACCACCACCACCACCAUUCGCAGAAUUCCACCACCAUCAAAUCAAUCCAACAACCACCACAAUCCCAUCCUCCUUCACCUCCACCAAGAUCCUCAACAACCAACCGCCGCUUCCAAAUUCGAACAGAGAUGACCUCGCCGAAGGUCAAACCAGCACGACCUUCCGCCGGCCCUCC
Molecule: long non-coding RNA, 485 nt
Filed under: Salvia miltiorrhiza (redroot sage)
Lineage: Eukaryota; Viridiplantae; Streptophyta; Magnoliopsida; Lamiales; Lamiaceae
Description: long non-coding RNA (SMIL_LNC010116)
Source: RNAcentral